UCAGACCAAAAAAAAACACAUAGAUCGGAAUCUAAAAAUAGGAAACUGAAGGACCGACAUCUGAAAAAGGAAAGAAGAAACAGGACAGAAAAUGAGUCCACCAUAAACAGUGGACAGAGAGAGAGAGAGAGAGAGAUGAAGCAGGCGGAGCUCACAGGGCUGCUCUGCGUGAUAUGGGCGGUGACUCUCCUCUAUGGUGAGAUGGUGGCCUUCUGGAGGCCCUCUCUCGGGUCUUGUUCAUGGCCUCAUCAGAGCAACAACGCUUCUUCUUCCAUGGCUGACCGCGAUUAUGUCAAAGUGGCCGUCCUCACAGACCCACAGCUCAUGGACAGAACCUCGCUUCCUCUUCCCCCAAAAUCACUUGCUCUCGAAUUGGCUCAGUUCUUCGCCGACUUGUUCAUGCGCAGAGCCUUUCAUCAAUCUGUGCUUCCUCUGCAGCCCGAUGUUAUUUUCUUUUUAGGUGAUUAUUUCGAUGGCGGUCCUUAUCUUUCGGAUGAAGAGUGGAAGGAAUCUUUAAGUCGUCUCAAACAUAUUUUUUCCCUGAGUGCGCAUGAAAGAUAUUCAAAUAUCCCAGUUUACUACCUUCCUGGAAACCAUGACAUUGGCUAUGGAAUUCUCCACUCUCGUAGGGCAGAGGCAAUCAAACGAUAUGAAAAGGAAUUUGGUAGCAGAAACUAUCGAUUUGCAGUUGGAAAAGUGGAGUUUAUUGCCAUUGACGCUCAAACUAUUGAUGGAAAUCCUCAAGGAAUUCUGACUUCCUCUACUCAUGAUUUUAUCAAGAAUGUCUCCAUGGAUGUUCAAGCAUAUCCAAGGGUUUUGUUGACCCAUAUUCCAUUGUACCGACAAGAUUGGACAGACUGUGGCCCCAAUCGUAAUUCAGAAAUCGUCAACCAGCGGAUUCUGCGCUCUGCUGAUGGUCAAGAAGUAGUGUAUCAGAAUUACAUUACAGAGGAAUCAUCAAAAUACUUAUUGGAUUCAAUUCAGCCGGUACUUGUUUUAUCUGGUCAUGAUCAUGAUCAGUGCCAUGUGAUCCAUGAGUCAAAAUAUGGGCCUGUAGGGGAGUACACUGUAGGGACAGUAAGUUGGCAGCAGGGAAACUUGUAUCCGUCUUUCAUGUUAGUGUCUACCAGUAAUUAUGUACCUUCAACUGCAUCCAAUGCUGAAGAGGCAAUCUUAACUCAGCCGUGCUUUCUUCCUAUGCAAACACACAUUUACAUAUGGUACCUCUCUCUAUUUGCUUUGACCCUCCUUGCCCUCCUGCUUUGGCCAUCCAGUGGUGUUAGUGUUGGGCAUAAUUUUAGUGAUUUAAUGGGGCUUGGAAAACAACUGAUAAGUAGCAUCAGAAGUAGAACAAAAGAGAAAAAUGAAGAUCUAAAUUGUGAGUAUGAGAUGAUUUGGGAUGCAGAAGGAUCAAUGCAUCUUGUCAAGAAAGCCUUGAGCACUCCUAGUGCACGUACAAGCGAGAAAAAUUUAGUAGAAAGCAGAGGCACUGCUGUGAUGCGGCCCACUGCUAGAAAGAAUAGUUCCCAGGAGAUAGAGGUCACUGUGAAUGCAGACACCGACACCGAUGCUAUGGCAAAAUUACUGCCUAGAGCAAGCAGAUCAUGGACAAAGAGAGUGAUCAAAAGAUUGGUGCGGACAUUUAGAAUGGUCAUAAUCAUCGCUGCUGUAAAUGUACCUCUCUAUGUGAUGUUACUUUUCAAGGACUGGAUUGACAAAUGACAUCCAAUUUGCACAUUCAGUGGGCUCUGCAUAAUACAAAAAAGGAAUACCAUGCAUGUCAAAGUAUCGCUCCCAUCUGGAAGUUAAUCAGCAUAUCUAAUUGUAUCUUAUGGCGAGUGGGGUCACAAGCAUGGAAUGAAUGUGGAACUUGCUGUUUCUAGUGGAUUUUCAUUCCUUGUGUGUUAAGAGUGGGGUGCAAGAAUGGAUGUAGAACUUACUGCUUAUGGUAGUGGAUUUCAUACCUUGUGUUUAGAGUCACAGAAUCUCUCCUAAUGCAGACAAUUACAAAGUUGUAAUUGAGAGUGUUGAGUCAACUUAUCUAAUUAAGGUCACAUUUUAAUUUUAAACACAACCAUUGCUCAACCCACAAUUACAAAUUCUUAUCUUUUCUGGCCAAUGCAUCAUUUCAAGCUUGGCAACUAGAAAUUAUUGCAUACUACAUAGCAAGUGGUCUAUCAGCAGCAUCCCCUGCAAACCCAUGAUAUUACAAGCUUUAUA
Non-coding RNA from Prunus mume (Japanese apricot), 2220 nucleotides. The record is from RefSeq and is a predicted model, not a curated record. Lineage: Eukaryota; Viridiplantae; Streptophyta; Magnoliopsida; Rosales; Rosaceae.